Molecule: long non-coding RNA, 794 nt
Filed under: Elaeis guineensis (African oil palm)
Lineage: Eukaryota; Viridiplantae; Streptophyta; Magnoliopsida; Arecales; Arecaceae
Description: long non-coding RNA (EGUI_LNC008304)
Source: RNAcentral
AUCAAUAGAAAAACCAAAAAAAGGUACAAAACUUAAGUAUUUACAACAUCGGUCUAAAGAUCGAUGAAAAAAUUUGGGACAGCUUCGAUAGGCUUUGAUGGUAAGGAAGCUUCGACAGUGGCAGAUGCUGGCCCAUUCUCAGGUGCUGGAUCAAAUCUUAGCCAUUCUCCAACUACAGUAGGAUCAGGGGCCAGAUCUCUUGUGGCUUCUCUUUCUUCUUCCUCUUCUCCUUGCUCUUCAUCCAGGAAGAUCAGGUCUAGAUGCGGAAGUGUGCCACUAUCUUUUUGCAGCAAUCAUCUUGUCCGGCACCUUAAGCUUCCUAACCGAACUCUACCUUCAUCUAGGAGAAUUCCUCUGACUUUCAAAAGGCUUUGAUUGUCAGACGUUCAGCUUCAGCAAUUUGGCUCUCUGUUUUCUUCUCGAUCUCUAUAGUCUUGGCCUGGGCCUCCCAUCGCCUCUUCUUCUCCGAGGCCAGGUCGGUCUUGACCUUUGCCUUGGCAGAUUCAAUCUUAUCCAAUGUCUCUUUCAAGUGUUUGGCUUCGACAUUGGCCAACUCAAUCUUGGACCGAGCCUUGGCCUCCAUAAUUUCUACCUUCUUCUGCACUUCGACGGUCUCUGACUCGAUGAUCCUCAGCGAGUUGACAAAAGUAGCAACGUGAUGGCCUAGCUAUACUUAGGAAAAGAAAAAGUCAACUAUUGAAAAAAAAGAAAAAGAGAAGAGAUAUAUACUACUACAAAAAUGGCUUAUGGUAGUGGUUUACAACCACUGCCGUAGCUCAAAAAACUACUGCCAG